This 2899-nucleotide ribosomal RNA is filed under the name Escherichia coli. Its description in RNAcentral is "23S ribosomal RNA". It matches the Rfam family "Bacterial large subunit ribosomal RNA". Lineage: Bacteria; Pseudomonadati; Pseudomonadota; Gammaproteobacteria; Enterobacterales; Enterobacteriaceae. The record is from RNAcentral.
GGUUAAGCGACUAAGCGUACACGGUGGAUGCCCUGGCAGUCAGAGGCGAUGAAGGACGUGCUAAUCUGCGAUAAGCGUCGGUAAGGUGAUAUGAACCGUUAUAACCGGCGAUUUCCGAAUGGGGAAACCCAGUGUGAUUCGUCACACUAUCAUUAACUGAAUCCAUAGGUUAAUGAGGCGAACCGGGGGAACUGAAACAUCUAAGUACCCCGAGGAAAAGAAAUCAACCGAGAUUCCCCCAGUAGCGGCGAGCGAACGGGGAGCAGCCCAGAGCCUGAAUCAGUGUGUGUGUUAGUGGAAGCGUCUGGAAAGGCGCGCGAUACAGGGUGACAGCCCCGUACACAAAAAUGCACAUGCUGUGAGCUCGAUGAGUAGGGCGGGACACGUGGUAUCCUGUCUGAAUAUGGGGGGACCAUCCUCCAAGGCUAAAUACUCCUGACUGACCGAUAGUGAACCAGUACCGUGAGGGAAAGGCGAAAAGAACCCCGGCGAGGGGAGUGAAAAAGAACCUGAAACCGUGUACGUACAAGCAGUGGGAGCCUCUUUAUGGGGUGACUGCGUACCUUUUGUAUAAUGGGUCAGCGACUUAUAUUCUGUAGCAAGGUUAACCGAAUAGGGAGCCGAAGGGAAACCGAGUCUUAACUGGGCGUUAAGUUGCAGGGUAUAGACCCGAAACCCGGUGAUCUAGCCAUGGGCAGGUUGAAGGUUGGGUAACACUAACUGGAGGACCGAACCGACUAAUGUUGAAAAAUUAGCGGAUGACUUGUGGCUGGGGUGAAAGGCCAAUCAAACCGGGAGAUAGCUGGUUCUCCCGAAAGCUAUUUAGGUAGCGCCUCGUGAACUCAUCUCCGGGGUAGAGCACUGUUUCGGCAAGGGGGUCAUCCCGACUUACCAACCCGAUGCAAACUGCGAAUACCGGAGAAUGUUAUCACGGGAGACACACGGCGGGUGCUAACGUCCGUCGUGAAGAGGGAAACAACCCAGACCGCCAGCUAAGGUCCCAAAGUCAUGGUUAAGUGGGAAACGAUGUGGGAAGGCCCAGACAGCCAGGAUGUUGGCUUAGAAGCAGCCAUCAUUUAAAGAAAGCGUAAUAGCUCACUGGUCGAGUCGGCCUGCGCGGAAGAUGUAACGGGGCUAAACCAUGCACCGAAGCUGCGGCAGCGACACUAUGUGUUGUUGGGUAGGGAGCGUUCUGUAAGCCUGUGAAGGUGUGCUGUGAGGCAUGCUGGAGGUAUCAGAAGUGCGAAUGCUGACAUAAGUAACGAUAAAGCGGGUGAAAAGCCCGCUCGCCGGAAGACCAAGGGUUCCUGUCCAACGUUAAUCGGGGCAGGGUGAGUCGACCCCUAAGGCGAGGCCGAAAGGCGUAGUCGAUGGGAAACAGGUUAAUAUUCCUGUACUUGGUGUUACUGCGAAGGGGGGACGGAGAAGGCUAUGUUGGCCGGGCGACGGUUGUCCCGGUUUAAGCGUGUAGGCUGGUUUUCCAGGCAAAUCCGGAAAAUCAAGGCUGAGGCGUGAUGACGAGGCACUACGGUGCUGAAGCAACAAAUGCCCUGCUUCCAGGAAAAGCCUCUAAGCAUCAGGUAACAUCAAAUCGUACCCCAAACCGACACAGGUGGUCAGGUAGAGAAUACCAAGGCGCUUGAGAGAACUCGGGUGAAGGAACUAGGCAAAAUGGUGCCGUAACUUCGGGAGAAGGCACGCUGAUAUGUAGGUGAAGUCCCUCGCGGAUGGAGCUGAAAUCAGUCGAAGAUACCAGCUGGCUGCAACUGUUUAUUAAAAACACAGCACUGUGCAAACACGAAAGUGGACGUAUACGGUGUGACGCCUGCCCGGUGCCGGAAGGUUAAUUGAUGGGGUUAGCGGUAACGCGAAGCUCUUGAUCGAAGCCCCGGUAAACGGCGGCCGUAACUAUAACGGUCCUAAGGUAGCGAAAUUCCUUGUCGGGUAAGUUCCGACCUGCACGAAUGGCGUAAUGAUGGCCAGGCUGUCUCCACCCGAGACUCAGUGAAAUUGAACUCGCUGUGAAGAUGCAGUGUACCCGCGGCAAGACGGAAAGACCCCGUGAACCUUUACUAUAGCUUGACACUGAACAUUGAGCCUUGAUGUGUAGGAUAGGUGGGAGGCUUUGAAGUGUGGACGCCAGUCUGCAUGGAGCCGACCUUGAAAUACCACCCUUUAAUGUUUGAUGUUCUAACGUUGGCCCCUGAUCGGGGUUGCGGACAGUGUCUGGUGGGUAGUUUGACUGGGGCGGUCUCCUCCUAAAGAGUAACGGAGGAGCACGAAGGUUGGCUAAUCCUGGUCGGACAUCAGGAGGUUAGUGCAAUGGCAUAAGCCAGCUUGACUGCGAGCGUGACGGCGCGAGCAGGUGCGAAAGCAGGUCAUAGUGAUCCGGUGGUUCUGAAUGGAAGGGCCAUCGCUCAACGGAUAAAAGGUACUCCGGGGAUAACAGGCUGAUACCGCCCAAGAGUUCAUAUCGACGGCGGUGUUUGGCACCUCGAUGUCGGCUCAUCACAUCCUGGGGCUGAAGUAGGUCCCAAGGGUAUGGCUGUUCGCCAUUUAAAGUGGUACGCGAGCUGGGUUUAGAACGUCGUGAGACAGUUCGGUCCCUAUCUGCCGUGGGCGCUGGAGAACUGAGGGGGGCUGCUCCUAGUACGAGAGGACCGGAGUGGACGCAUCACUGGUGUUCGGGUUGUCAUGCCAAUGGCACUGCCCGGUAGCUAAAUGCGGAAGAGAUAAGUGCUGAAAGCAUCUAAGCACGAAACUUGCCCCGAGAUGAGUUCUCCCUGACUCCUUGAGAGUCCUGAAGGAACGUUGAAGACGACGACGUUGAUAGGCCGGGUGUGUAAGCGCAGCGAUGCGUUGAGCUAACCGGUACUAAUGAACCGUGAGGCUUAACCUU